This 224-nucleotide long non-coding RNA is filed under the name Citrus x clementina. RNAcentral describes it as "Citrus clementina (C. clementina) long non-coding RNA (CCLE_LNC004762)". Lineage: Eukaryota; Viridiplantae; Streptophyta; Magnoliopsida; Sapindales; Rutaceae. The record is from RNAcentral.
AUUCCGUUUCCGUUUCGUACCACGGGACCAGCGGUCCGGGGGCAUCGGGAUGGGGGGGUAGCCGCGCGGCAGUUUGUACGGCGAAAAAUGGGCAAGAUCGGGGGCCGCUUAGUAGGCUUUGCCGGUUUCGGCCGUAACUAAUGAUCCGGGCCUCCGAUUCCGUUUCCGUUUGGUCCCACGGGACCAGCGGUCCGGGGGCAUCGGGAUGGGGGGGUAGCCGUGCG